CAGUAGCCGCGGGAAUACGAAGGGGGCUAGCGUUGCUCGGAAUUACUGGGCGUAAAGGGAGCGUAGGCGGAUCGUUAAGUUGGGGGUGAAAGCCCGGGGCUCAACCUCGGAACUGCCUUCAAUACUGGCGAUCUUGAGUAUGAGAGAGGUGUGUGGAACUCCGAGUGUAGAGGUGAAAUUCGUAGAUAUUCGGAAGAACACCAGUGGCGAAGGCGACACACUGGCUCAUUACUGACGCUGAGGCUCGAAAGCGUGGGGAGCAAACAGGAUUAGAUACCCGUGUAGUCCCUGUCUCUUAUAC
RNAcentral lists this ribosomal RNA (301 nucleotides) under uncultured bacterium. RNAcentral describes it as "partial 16S ribosomal RNA". It matches the Rfam family "Bacterial small subunit ribosomal RNA", at positions 509 to 807 of the family's 1533-position model. The record is from RNAcentral.